AGGUGAUGUUUUAACAAUAAUAUUGAACUUGGGAAAUGUAUACUGAAGGAAACAAGUAUGUUUAACUCUAAGAGAGCUCAAAAAUAUAAUUUUCUAAUUAGAUAGCUGAUAAAUUUGCCGAAAACAAGUGAAAUCUGACUUUAGCCGACUAACUCAUUUUUUUUAAUCUCGUUACACUCUAAUCAUUUUUAAUGCAUACUGGACUGCCCAGAGGUCAGAUAAGCAAGAUUGUCCUUCAUCUCCGUUAGGCAUUUUAUAAAAAUCUAAUACAGUUUACAAAUUUCAACUAUUCAGACUGCUAAAGUUGCAGGUGUGAAUGCAAAUUAGUCAAAGAUCAGAAUUCUUAAUCAACUUUGGACUAUGCGUGCACAGUAAAUGUUUUAAUUAGAGACCUGAUGUUUUUAUCUUUAAAAUAGUUUUUACAUUUUAGAGGUCAUUCAGACAAUGAAGGGAAUUAAUUUAUAUUUCUUCCUUUUGUAUUGCAUAAUUAUAUUGCAGUUUUUUUUUUUUAACUGAUUUAUUUACUUAUUCUUAACGGUGUUUAAAAUUAAAAUAAUUUUUCCAGAAAUAAAAUAUUAUACUUGAGAAGGCAUAGGAAACAUACAUUCAAAAUUUUUUUUAAAACACUUUUAAGAACAGACCUAAAAAUAACAAAAAUUAAAUAAUCUAUAGAAAGGGAAAAAAGAAUGAGAACAAAAAUGAAGAAUUGUAAAAUUGUAAAUGCAAUUUUCCCAAGAGUUGAACUUAUAUAGGAGUUAAUAUUGGAACUUCAGUGUCAAUUCUAAACCAACUUUGGUCCUUUUGGACAUUCAGACUGAACAGGACUAUUGCUUCACCGUGAGCAGAUGUUAGGACAUUUGAAAAAGUGAAUGGCUCACCUUAAAACUUGUAUUUUAUAUUGCAUAAGAAAUCCGUUCUAUAGUUUUCCUCAUUGGAAUUUUUGAAAUUAAAACUACCCCACCUUUAUUCAAAAUGCACAAUUGAACUAUGAGAAUGAUACUAACUUUGGAGUAAAAUUUAGUUAGUCUAGUAGUCAAAAAAUCAGUACAGUUUAAAAAUUAAUUUUUGCCAGUUGUCUUACUCUUCAGACAAAAUUUAAAAUUACUAAUUAAUGAUACAUGAGAAUUCUGACAUAAGCAAUUUUUUAUCUCAUUUCAAAAUACAACGCAUGAAUAAUAAUAUUAUGAAUAAAUAGCAGUUGUUUAAACAAUUCAAAUUAAAUCCAAUGUUUGAAGGCAAAACAACUAUGUGAAUCAAUUAUCAACAAAGCCUUCAUUUGGUAAUGAGUUAAAAUUAUUUUGGAAGGCAAAUCGAAGGUUUAAAAAAAUUACUCUAAGUGCAUGCCAAGUUUCGAUCAUUACCUAAAGUUUUAAACUUUCAAAUCACUCCACUUUAACUAAACACAACUUAAUUCCAAAUAGGGCAAAAAAAGAAAAUGUUUUGAGACAAAUAAAAAGAUGGAAUUUAUACUUAAAAAAACCAGCAAAUGUGAAAGGUGAAGAACUUUAAUUUCUAGAAUAAGAAUAAAUUAAACAGUGCAAUUUUUAAUAAACUACUACUACUUAUUAUUAUAGCAUGAUAUUUUAAAUUAUCUUCUUUUUUAAUUAUUUCAUGUCAGAAACUAAUGCAAAGCAUUUUUUUUUAUCUACUUCAGUGUAGUUUGAAUUCAGGAUCAGACCUUGAUCUUCUUGGCCAUUCUGCUCACGUAAGUUAAAUUCAGGGCUAUCCACACUCCUCAAAACAUGCAAUUUUUAACUCAUACUUCAAUUUUUUUCCAUAUGCAUACCAUUCUCUCAAGUAUGUCAAUACUUCUUGAUCAAUAUAAAUGAGAAUUCUGGCAUAAGCAUCUUUUUAUCUCAUUUCAAAAUAAACACCUGAAUAAUAUGAAUAAACAGCAGUUGUUUAAACAAGUAACUUAUACAACUGAUCUGAUUGAGAGUGUCAAUAGGUACUCAAUAAUCCGCCAUUGGGCAUUCAAUUUCACAAUUCAUUUAGCAGGGGAAGAAAAAACGAUUAAUAAAAAAAUUGUAUACAGUAGAAUCCUCCAUUUUGAUGUUGAGUCAUUGCCAUGCUUAAGAACAAUUCCUGUAGCGAUGACAUUCCUGUCCUUUUAUUUUUAAACAUUAUUAUUACAAGUAUUUAUUUAGAAAUCGUCGGUGGUCACCAGACCGCAUCUCACGAUUUCUAAAUAAAUAUCAAUUAACGGUCACUAAUCACCACACAUUAUUACAAGUGAUAAGCCAAAGAGCUAUUUCUUUUGUAUAAAUUACCAUGAAAUUGUUGAAUACAUAAAAUUAUUUCAAAUUUCAUCCUAAUAACCCAUAGUUUAGCAGUUUCCAAUCAUUUGGGUCUAGAUACCAUUAAUUGCCAACUAUUUGGUGGAUAGAAACAAGAAGACAGUGAAAAACCAAUAUCACAACCCGCUUAUUAAGAUUGCUAAAAGUCUAAAUGUGCCUGAUAAACGGCCACCAAAAUUAUCAGAAACUGUUAAAAAUUGGUCUUAAUUUCAUUUGUUUUUGUUUCUUUUCAGUCGGAUAGCUUGUUGUCAGUUACAAGCACACACUUCAAAUUAAUUAUCACCAAGUAAAUAUUAAAUACCUCUGUCAUACUUAUAAACAUAUGGCAAAACAACAAGAUUUCAUAGUAAUAUGUUCAUGAUGCAAUUCUCUCACUUGAGAACAUAGGAACAAAAAGUAGGAAAAAGAUACGCAACUUUUGUUGUAUUUUCUGAUUAGAAUAUUACAAUCAUGCGUACAAAAAGUGUAAACAAAGCAGUUCCUCAAAUGUGGGGAAUAUUUAUUUUAAAUGAAACAGCAAGAUUUCUAAUUAAUAUAUUCAUGUAAUGCCAUCACUUCUGAGAAUAUUUGAAGAAAAGUGUAUGUAAAAUGUGAGUAAAUAAAUAAUUUAUAUGCACAGAAUGUUUUUUUCCCGAUUUUCAAUGUUUUGGCUUAGAUUGCAAUUUCUCAAAUGUGAGCAUUUGAAAUGAAACUGCAAGAAUAAAAAUAAUAUAUGUAUGCAAUAUCGUCCCUUUUGAAAACAUUUUAACAAACGUGUGCAUAAAAUAUGAGUUAACUAAGUUAUUUAUAUGCAAAGAAUGAUGUUUCUCCUUGAUUUUUGAAUGUUUUGGCUUAGAGGACCUUACAGUUUCUCAAGUGGGCAUUUUAUUUGAAAUAAAACAGCAAGUUUUCCAACUAAUAUAUUUGUGCAAUACCUUCACGUUUGAGAAUGUUUGAAUGAAAUUUAACAAAAAUUAUGAUUUAGAUAAGCAAUUUAUAUAUUUGGAAUAUAUUUUUUCCAGUGUUUGAAUGUUUUAGGUAAGAUAGCAAUCUCUCAAAUGUGGGGCAUAUUUUUUUGAAAUUAAUCUACAAGAAACCAAAUAUUGUAUGAAUGCAAUAUUGUCCCUUUUUCAACAAAAGUGUGCAUACAAUGUGAGUUAAAUAAGCAAUUUAUAUUCAGAGAAUAAUCUUUAUCUCUGAUUUUGAACGCUUUGGUUUAGGCUGCCAGUUUGUCAAAUCUGGGACAUAUUAAUUUGGAAUUAAA
This 3540-nucleotide long non-coding RNA is filed under the name Cimex lectularius (bed bug). RNAcentral describes it as "uncharacterized LOC112126232". The record is from RNAcentral. Lineage: Eukaryota; Metazoa; Arthropoda; Insecta; Hemiptera; Cimicidae.